GGUAUAGCUCAGUUGGUUAGAGCGCUGGAUUGUGGUUCCAGAGGUCGCCGGUUCAAUUCCGGUUAUU
This 67-nucleotide transfer RNA is filed under the name marine eukaryotic metagenome. It matches the Rfam family "tRNA", at positions 6 to 65 of the family's 71-position model. Rfam says of the family: Transfer RNA (tRNA) molecules are approximately 80 nucleotides in length. Their secondary structure includes four short double-helical elements and three loops (D, anti-codon, and T loops). The record is from RNAcentral.